UGUCGACCUCAGAUCAAGCGAGAUUACCCCCUGAAU
Molecule: ribosomal RNA, 36 nt
Filed under: Proctophyllodes stylifer
Lineage: Eukaryota; Metazoa; Arthropoda; Arachnida; Sarcoptiformes; Proctophyllodidae
Description: partial 28S ribosomal RNA
Source: RNAcentral